This is a long non-coding RNA of Callorhinus ursinus (northern fur seal), 1714 nucleotides long. RefSeq lists it as uncharacterized. NCBI's taxonomy places the organism in Eukaryota, Metazoa, Chordata, Mammalia, Carnivora, Otariidae. The record is from RefSeq and is a predicted model, not a curated record.
CAGCUGCAAAGAGGCUUGCGUGGCUUCCCAUAGUCAACAGAAGCAGUGGGCCUCUGGGUGGCCAGGCCUCUUCCUCUAGCUGUUUCAGCUCUGCCCCCACAGAACCCCAUUUACUGUAAACGCCCUGCACCACCCACACCCAAAGUGCUUUCUCUCGGGCAGUCCUGGGUGGCGGCAGAUUGUGAGGAAGGAACAUCUCCCAAGUCUUGGUCCUUGAAUCUCCUAAAUCAAUGGCUCAGCCCCCACCUCAGCAGCUUCUCACAAAGGCUAUGGUUUCCAGUGACAACUGGAAAAAGCAGUGUGGUUGGAGGGCCAAGAGAUUUUGUUGGAACUUCCAUCUGGAUCCUCAGAGGCCACCUGGGACUGACCAACUGCUCACAUUAGGAAGACGAAGUCUCCAUUUCAACUGUCACGGCUAGCAAAGCCACAAGGCAACCCCGCACCAGGGGCCGAAUGCCAAGGACGUGCCAAACCCCCAAAGGAUGUGCACCCACCUGCUCUCCUCGGGCCCACCUCCCAGCCAGAGCAUGGGCCCACUGAGUGCCAGCCAGAGGAGUACUGGAUUAAGACGGAGAAGAUUUGGAUUCAAGUCCUAUCUUCGUGACUCAUCGGGGGGGCCAGACCUUUCUUAUCUGUGAAUACGAGAAAAUGGUCGCUCCAGGCACAUUUGGGGGCAGCACAGUAAUCUGUCCCUGUAGAAUUCGCGAGAUUGCCAAGCUUCCAGGAGACUGGUCUUUACAGCUUCGCAAGCAGUCCAGUUUACAAAACACUCCCCCAGACCUUCUAACAACCGUCCGGGUUUCUGCUUGGCAGUCUCUGCGUUCUCAGAGUCUUUCCAAUUCUUCAUUUGAAUUCUGUCCAUAGCACAGUUUAAAUCCAUUUCCUUUUCUGUGGGCCUCCGAAGUUGAAACCAGUAUCGCAGAAUCCUCAGCAAUUCCGGCUUUUUCAGAGGAGGACAGUGUGCUGGAGAGGCCCCUUCCGUGACGACGACACGGCCGACGGCAAGAGCUCACGGUUUUCAAGCUCAUGGUUAUCAAGGUGCUUGGCCUUUGCUGCUGGUACCUCCCCCUGAGGCCCAGGGACCCCACCAGGUGGCCACCACGGGCCCCAUUAUCCUGGAGCUUGGCGAGGCCUGGUGACCUUCCAAUGGCCUCUUCCAGUACCUGGAAUUUCCCCUUCAGAGCUGGUGACUGGUGGGUCAGGGCGGGGCACAUACAAGGACACCUCCAAAGCCUGUGUGUGAUCCUCACCCCUCCGUGCUCACCCCUCCUUCUUGUCUACUUCCAUUGUUGCUAUGCCCUUAAAGGACAAGUACCAGCCCCCGAUUCAAAAGAAAUCAGAAACCCUGCCACUAUGAACAGUUACCUGCACGCACCCCUGUCAGCCUCCAGCUGGUGGAAAAGAAGGUGACAACUGUGAAAUGACUGGGGACCAAUGGCCACAAACCUCUCUGGCUUCAAGCCAGCCCAUCCAUGGGUUAUUAUCUUUCUGGGGCUGAAACUCUACCUUCUGAUGGUUCCCCCUAUGUCAUCUGGGGAUUCACCCUUGCAGCCCCCAAGCUCAAAACAACGUUCUGUGUUGUUCAUCCAGCAGCCUGGAAGCUCAAGACCUAGGUUACUUUACUGCCUGGGGAGCCCUGGGGCAGAUUCCCCUGAGCCUCAGUUUCCCCACUGGACCACCGAGGAGAAUAAAGCUCUUUGUCACUUGUGCUUAA